UGAUACGGUGCGGUUGCCAGUCGCGCUCCUCGUGAGCCAGGGAACCCGGUGCGAACCCGGGACUGACGCGCAGCGGUAAGGGUGACGGGCGGGGCAACACGCCACUGGACUUCGUGUCCGGGAAGGUGCCUCGUCCGGAUGAUCCCGAGUCCGAAGACCUGCUGGCCGUGGGGUUCCACC
RNAcentral lists this non-coding RNA (180 nucleotides) under Aeromicrobium choanae. Lineage: Bacteria; Bacillati; Actinomycetota; Actinomycetes; Propionibacteriales; Nocardioidaceae. The record is from RNAcentral.